UCCAGACUUUGAUCCUGGCUCAGGACGAACGCUGGCGGCGCGCCUAACACAUGCAAGUCGAACGAGAGAUGAGGAGCUUGCUCUUCAAAUCGAGUGGCGAACGGGUGAGUAACGCGUGAGGAACCUGCCUCAAAGAGGGGGACAACAGUUGGAAACGACUGCUAAUACCGCAUAAGCCCACAGCUCGGCAUCGAGCAGAGGGAAAAGGAGUGAUCCGCUUUGAGAUGGCCUCGCGUCCGAUUAGCUGGUUGGUGAGGUAACGGCCCACCAAGGCAACGAUCGGUAGCCGGACUGAGAGGUUGAACGGCCACAUUGGGACUGAGACACGGCCCAGACUCCUACGGGAGGCAGCAGUGGGGAAUAUUGCACAAUGGGGGAAACCCUGAUGCAGCGACGCCGCGUGGAGGAAGAAGGUCUUCGGAUUGUAAACUCCUGUUGUUGAGGAAGAUAAUGACGGUACUCAACAAGGAAGUGACGGCUAACUACGUGCCAGCAGCCGCGGUAAAACGUAGGUCACAAGCGUUGUCCGGAAUUACUGGGUGUAAAGGGAGCGCAGGCGGGAGAACAAGUUGGAAGUGAAAUCCAUGGGCUCAACCCAUGAACUGCUUUCAAAACUGUUUUUCUUGAGUAGUGCAGAGGUAGGCGGAAUUCCCGGUGUAGCGGUGGAAUGCGUAGAUAUCGGGAGGAACACCAGUGGCGAAGGCGGCCUACUGGGCACCAACUGACGCUGAGGCUCGAAAGUGUGGGUAGCAAACAGGAUUAGAUACCCUGGUAGUCCACACCGUAAACGAUGAUUACUAGGUGUUGGAGGAUUGACCCCUUCAGUGCCGCAGUUAACACAAUAAGUAAUCCACCUGGGGAGUACGACCGCAAGGUUGCAACUCAAAUGAAUUGACGGA
This 899-nucleotide ribosomal RNA is filed under the name uncultured organism. Its description in RNAcentral is "bacterial SSU rRNA". It matches the Rfam family "Bacterial small subunit ribosomal RNA", at positions 1 to 917 of the family's 1533-position model. The record is from RNAcentral.